This 515-nucleotide ribosomal RNA is filed under the name uncultured bacterium. RNAcentral describes it as "partial 16S ribosomal RNA". It matches the Rfam family "Bacterial small subunit ribosomal RNA", at positions 28 to 523 of the family's 1533-position model. The record is from RNAcentral.
GAUGAACGCUGGCGGCGUGCCUAAUACAUGCAAGUCGAGCGAAUGGAUUAAGAGCUUGCUCUUAUGAAGUUAGCGGCGGACGGGUGAGUAACACGUGGGUAACCUGCCCAUAAGACUGGGAUAACUCCGGGAAACCGGGGCUAAUACCGGAUAACAUUUUGAACCGCAUGGUUCGAAAUUGAAAGGCGGCUUCGGCUGUCACUUAUGGAUGGACCCGCGUCGCAUUAGCUAGUUGGUGAGGUAACGGCUCACCAAGGCAACGAUGCGUAGCCGAGCUGGGAGGGUGAUCGGCCACACUGGGACUGAGACGCGGCCCAGACUCCUACGGGAGGCAGCAGUAGGGAAUCUUCCGCAAUGGACGAAAGCCUGACGGAGCAACGCCGUGUGAGUGAUGAAGGCUUUCGGGUCGUAAAACUCUGUUGUUAGGGAAGAACAAGUGCUAGUUGAAUAAGCUGGCACCUUGACGGUACCUAACCAGAAAGCCACGGCUAACUACGUGCCAGCCGCCGCGGUAA